GACGAACCGAGCGAACGUUGUCCGGAAUUAUUGGGCGUAAAGAGCUCGUAGGCGGUGUGUCGCGUCGGCCGUGAAAACCUGCAGCUUAACUGUGGGCGUGCGGUCGAUACGGGCAUCACUGGAGUUCGGCAGGGGAGACUGGAAUUCCUGGUGUAGCGGUGAAAUGCGCAGAUAUCAGGAGGAACACCGGUGGCGAAGGCGGGUCUCUGGGCCGAUACUGACGCUGAGGAGCGAAAGCGUGGGGAGCGAACAGG
RNAcentral lists this ribosomal RNA (254 nucleotides) under uncultured bacterium. RNAcentral's name for it is "partial 16S ribosomal RNA". It matches the Rfam family "Bacterial small subunit ribosomal RNA", at positions 524 to 776 of the family's 1533-position model. The record is from RNAcentral.